GCUUACGGCCAUACCACCCUGAACACGCCCGAUCUCGUCUGAUCUCGGAAGCUAAGCAGGGUCGGGCCUGGUUAGUACUUGGAUGGGAGACCGCCUGGGAAUACCAGGUGCUGUUAGCU
RNAcentral lists this ribosomal RNA (119 nucleotides) under Echeneis naucrates (live sharksucker). Lineage: Eukaryota; Metazoa; Chordata; Actinopteri; Carangiformes; Echeneidae. The record is from RNAcentral.